CUUCCUCGAUCUGCUGCGGGCAGAUGAAGUGGAUAUGGCUGUCGAAACCGCCAGCGGUGAGGAUCUUGCCUUCACCUGCAAUCACCUCCGUGCCGGGGCCGACAAUAAUGUCGACGCCGGGCUGAGUGUCGGGAUUGCCAGCCUUGCCUAUGGAGGCGAUGCGGCCAUCCUUCAGGCCGAUAUCGGCCUUGAAGAUGCCGGUGUGAUCGACCACCAGCGCAUUGGUGAUGACAGUAUCCACCGCGCCAUCGGCACGGGUGACCUGGGACUGCCCCAUGCCGUCGCGGAU
RNAcentral lists this small RNA (289 nucleotides) under Hoeflea sp. EC-HK425. RNAcentral describes it as "5_ureB_sRNA". It matches the Rfam family "5' ureB small RNA". The record is from RNAcentral. Lineage: Bacteria; Pseudomonadati; Pseudomonadota; Alphaproteobacteria; Hyphomicrobiales; Rhizobiaceae.